GACGAACGCUGGCGGCGUGCCUAAUACAUGCAAGUAGAACGCUGAAACUUGGUGCUUGCACCGAGCGGAUGAGUUGCGAACGGGUGAGUAACGCGUAGGUAACCUGCCUGGUAGCGGGGGAUAACUAUUGGAAACGAUAGCUAAUACCGCAUAAGAGUAGAUGUUGCAUGACAUUUGCUUAAAAGGUGCAAUUGCACCACUACCAGAUGGACCUGCGUUGUAUUAGCUAGUUGGUGGGGUAACGGCUCACCAAGGCGACGAUACAUAGCCGACCUGAGAGGGUGAUCGGCCACACUGGGACUGAGACACGGCCCAGACUCCUACGGGAGGCAGCAGUGGGGAAUCUUCGGCAAUGGACGGAAGUCUGACCGAGCAACGCCGCGUGAGUGAAGAAGGUUUUCGGAUCGUAAAGCUCUGUUGUAAGAGAAGAACGAGUGUGAGAGUGGAAAGUUCACACUGUGACGGUAUCUUACCAGAAAGGGACGGCUAACUACGUG
This 497-nucleotide ribosomal RNA is filed under the name uncultured bacterium. Its description in RNAcentral is "partial 16S ribosomal RNA". It matches the Rfam family "Bacterial small subunit ribosomal RNA", at positions 28 to 507 of the family's 1533-position model. The record is from RNAcentral.